This 378-nucleotide unclassified non-coding RNA is filed under the name uncultured bacterium. RNAcentral's name for it is "contains 16S-23S intergenic spacer region". The record is from RNAcentral.
UCGCGGCUUAUCACCGGCAGUCCCCUUAGAGUGCCCAACUGAAUGAUGGCAACUAAGGACAAGGGUUGCGCUCGUUGCGGGACUUAACCCAACAUCUCACGACACGAGCUGACGACAGCCAUGCAGCACCUGUCUCGCGAUUCCCGAAGGCACCAAGGCAUUUCUGCCGAGUUCCGCGGAUGUCAAGACCUGGUAAGGUUCUUCGCGUUGCUUCGAAUUAAACCACAUACUCCACUGCUUGUGCGGGUCCCCGCCAAUUCCUUUGAGUUCCAGCCUUGCGGCCGUACUCCCCAGGCGGAGUGCUUACUGUGUUAACUUCGGCACCAAGGGCAUGGAAGCCCCUAACACCUAGCACUCAUCGUUUACGGCGUGGACUAC